GUGCAGUCGAGCGGAUGAAGGGAGCUUGCUCCUGGAUUCAGCGGCGGCACGGGUGAGUAAUGCCUAGGAAUCUGCCUGGUAGUGGGGGAUAACGUCCGGAAACGGGCGCUAAUACCGCAUACGUCCUGAGGGAGAAAGUGGGGGAUCUUCGGACCUCACGCUAUCAGAUGAGCCUAGGUCGGAUUAGCUAGUUGGUGGGGUAAAGGCCUACCAAGGCGACGAUCCGUAACUGGUCUGAGAGGAUGAUCAGUCACACUGGAACUGAGACACGGUCCAGACUCCUACGGGAGGCAGCAGUGGGGAAUAUUGGACAAUGGGCGAAAGCCUGAUCCAGCCAUGCCGCGUGUGUGAAGAAGGUCUUCGGAUUGUAAAGCACUUUAAGUUGGGAGGAAGGGCAGUAAGUUAAUACCUUGCUGUUUUGACGUUACCAACAGAAUAAGCACCGGCUAACUUCGUGCCAGCAGCCGCGGUAAUACGAAGGGUGCAAGCGUUAAUCGGAAUUACUGGGCGUAAAGCGCGCGUAGGUGGUUCAGCAAGUUGGAUGUGAUAUCUUCGGGCUCAACCUGGGAACUGCAUCCAACACUACUGAGCUAGAGUACGGUAGAGGGUGGUGGAAUUUCCUGUGUAGCGGUGAAAUGCGUAGAUAUCGGAAGGAGCACGAGUGGCGAAGGCGACCACCUGGGCUGAUACUGACACUGAGGUGCGAAACGUGGGAGCAAACAGGAUUAGAUACCCUGGUAGUCCACGCCGUAUACGAUGUCUACUAGCUCUGGGAUCUUGAGAUCUUAGUCGCGCUCUAACGCGAUAAGU
Molecule: ribosomal RNA, 810 nt
Filed under: uncultured Pseudomonas sp.
Lineage: Bacteria; Pseudomonadati; Pseudomonadota; Gammaproteobacteria; Pseudomonadales; Pseudomonadaceae
Description: bacterial SSU rRNA
Rfam family: Bacterial small subunit ribosomal RNA
Source: RNAcentral